AAAUUACACUGAAGAUAUAAACAAUCAAUGGUGUCAAACUCAUUUUAAUUCAGGUUCCACAUACAGACACAUACAGUCUAAUUAGAUUUUAAGUGGGUCAGAACCAGUAAAAUACUAUCAUUAUAACGUAGAAAUUAUGACAACCCCCAAUUCUCUCUUUGGUUUUU
Long non-coding RNA from Sphaeramia orbicularis (orbiculate cardinalfish), 167 nucleotides. RefSeq lists it as uncharacterized. The transcript is spliced from 2 exons. NCBI's taxonomy places the organism in Eukaryota, Metazoa, Chordata, Actinopteri, Kurtiformes, Apogonidae. The record is from RefSeq and is a predicted model, not a curated record.